ACCACAUAAUGAAAUACAGAAUAUUAUUGGCCUUAAAUAUUAAAAUAGUAUUAAUACAUUGACAUUUUUAUAGUUAAAAAUACUGCAAACUUCUAACACAAACAAUAUGUAUGUACAUUGUAUUAUUCAAUGAUCUAUAGCCUAAAUAACUUAUCGGUACAAAAAGUAAAAAAACAGAUAUCCUUGGGUUUUGAUUAUCACUUAUACGUAUAGUUUUCUCGUACGUAUCAUUUAUCACAUCGCAUAACGUUUUAAAUUAACGUCAUUUAUCCUUAUUAUUUCAACAUUUCCCGUUAUUUAAUCAUUUCACCAUAAAGGUAUAUAUUCAGGUACCCAAGUGUCUCCAAGUAGAGAAGAAACCUUGGCUGUUACAUCCAAGACAUCCAAUUCUGAAUUCUCUAUUAAAGAUGUCUCCCGGAUAUAAAGUAUUUUUAAGCGUUCAGCGCAUAAGGUAACAAAUUCUAGAAGACCCGUACAACUAAAAGAUAAAUAAUUAUUAUAACAAAAUUAUGCUCGAUCUAUUUCCAUGGAGAACAUCCAAAUAUUGACGUUAACGAUUUUAAUUAUUAUUAUAAUACCUAAUUUCACAAUCACCCAAACCAAUGGCAUUAAGAUGAGGACAUCCUCUAGCAACGUUAAUUAAAACAUCAUCAAUAAGGCCAGGUCCGUAAGCAGCUAUAACCAAUUCCAUUAAUCGCGGACAAUAACUGUGAAUUCGCAAUGCUAUUGACUCCGAUGGCGCUUCUCCAAAAUAUAAGUGCGUCACUGGAAUAUGUGACGUGAAAAGGGAUUUGUGUUCUUCUUCAUCAGUUAUGUCAUCAACGAAACUAGAGAAGAAAAUGACAUAAAUAUACAUUGGCCACUCACAAAACGAGAUUGAUGUUUGGAAACCGAUCGACGAAUGUUGUCCACACUUUUUCAUCGAUAACAGGAAGUGGUCUUAUUUCAGAAUGUACUUCUAUUUUUAAUGUCUCCAAAUUGAUUUCUUUUUCGGUGCACAAAGCCAUCAGUAAAUCGUCGCUUAAUAAAGUAUAAGACAUGGAUAAUUCGCGAAGACAUCGACAGUGAUUCACCAACAAAAAUAAAAUGAACUUACCUUCCGGCAACAAAUGGGGUGAACCUCUGAUCCUCAGAAGUUGAAGACUCUUCGUCCACGCGUUGUCCUCGACUUCCCGACGUUCCUUCCUCUGCUCUAUCGUUGUCUUCUCGUUUGACAAUGUCAACGCGGUAUUGAAGCCUUCACUGUCAAUAUCGAGGUACGUCGAUUUCGACGUAUUUAUAAGUGCCAACAUCUAUCAAAUCAAUGCACAAAAUGGAUCAAACAAAACACGAAAGAAAUAAAAAUGAAAAAGAAAAAGAAAUGUAGAAAUAAUAAAAAGAAUAAAAUUAGAAUCACUAGAUUCUAUACCUUUAAAAUAUAUUUAA
Molecule: long non-coding RNA, 1425 nt
Organism: Vespa velutina
Lineage: Eukaryota; Metazoa; Arthropoda; Insecta; Hymenoptera; Vespidae
Exons: 3
Source: RefSeq, a predicted model, not a curated record